Molecule: unclassified non-coding RNA, 376 nt
Filed under: soil metagenome
Description: partial contains 5.8S ribosomal RNA, internal transcribed spacer 2, and large subunit ribosomal RNA
Rfam family: 5.8S ribosomal RNA (bases 1-120)
Source: RNAcentral
GAUGAAGAACGCAGCGAAAUGCGAUAAGUAAUGUGAAUUGCAGAAUUCAGUGAAUCAUCGAAUCUUUGAACGCAUCUUGCGCUCCUUGGUAUUCUUAGGAGCAUGCCUGUUUGAGUGUCAUUAAAUUCUCAACUACACUGACUUUGAAUUGGUGUGGCUUGGAUUUGGGGGGAAAAUUGUUGUGGGCUUUUUGUAUAGUCUGCUCCCCUGAAAUUGAUUAGCGGUACCUUUGUGGAACUGUCUACAGGUGUGAUAAUUAUCUACAUCUUAGACAUCUGCUGGAAUGCUGCUCUCUAAACCUUACUUGUAUUGACAAUCUUGACCUCAAAUCAGGUAGGACUACCCGCUGAACUUAAGCAUAUCAAUAAGCGGAGGA